GGUAGACACAGGUUGGACUUUCAACGAUAAGAUCAAUCUUUCACCCGUUGCCUCGAUUGGUGAAAACCCUAGCCGCAGCAAUCGAUUGUUUUUCAUCAUCAUCAUCAUCAUCAUUAUCGCAGAGACGCAGGGGAAAGGGAUGGAGAAGCUUAUUUAUGUUCACGUUCUCAAGAUGGGAAAAUAUUCAAAAAAAGAUUUGUACGGUUCGUUUACAAUGAUGCAGCAAACGACUGGAAUGUGAUCAAACAAAGAAGCGAUGGUGGUGUUGGUGUUAAAAUGUCGCGAAAUUUUCAAGAUGUAGUUACUCUGAACUCCCCAGGCCCUGCUCUUGUGCAUACCGGCUGCGAAGCGAUUGGUUCCUGCAUUUUCGUGAUCGGUGGGGUUAAUGCCCUCUGUGAUCGAUCUUUUAUGGGAGCUCGCGAUGGUUCCGGCGAGUUAAGAGAAAUUAGCCAACCUGUUGUUUCUAUUUAUUCCCCAAAUUUCUCUGUGUGUUUAUCGCUGAGCACAAUUGUUGCCUAUAGGAGGAAGAAGGCACUUUGUAUCAACUAGAUUGCAAGAACAAUAGCAAUUGGAGUGUCUAUCAGAAGGAUUUACCUUAUCCAUCAGGUGCCCUCAUUGUUUUUAAUGAUGGGAUUCUUUUACAUCUUUAGUCCUGGGAAGCAAUUGACUUACUGCGAUAUUAGCAACAAGAAUGAACUUUAUGUGGUUGACCUCCCUCGAUCGUUCUGGUUUUGGUGGCGACAGUUAUGAAAUCGAUCGAAUUCAUUGUCCUUUCUAAGAAUAGGUUCUGCGUCGUGUGGGAUGCCGACAUUGGUGUCAUUAAUCAAAUCCAAGUACAUUACAUCAGAUUCUCAGUCUCUCAUCAUCUAACUCAGUCCACUUUUGAUGUUGAGAAGACGCGGCGCUUCACUGUUGGUGGCCCUAGGCCAAGUUCUGUGGCAGUGUUUGGUAUCGAGGUGGGCCACUUUGGUAUUGAAAGGAGAAGAACGGAAGAGUUAAAGUUGUUGUGCCACAUGCCGCGGCGUGAAGAUUGUUCGCCACAGUGCACAAAUCCCUAGUUGUGGGUUUGGUAUCGAGACGGACCACCCGAGUAUCGAAAGGAGAAGAGAAGGAAGAGUUGAAGUUGUGCCACACGCCGUGGCGCGUAGAUUGUCUGCCACAACGCAUAGCCAUCCUUGAGUGAGGAAGGACAUUUCUGUGCUAUGCGCCAUAGCGCAUGGCCAUUUUUUGCACUUUAUCAGACGCGAAAUGAGACAGAAAAAAGAAAGAAAAGGAAGGAGAGAAAGGAGAGGUGUGCUAAUGCUCUGCUAGAGUUUGCUUGGGGAUCACUUUGAGAGUAUUUUAAAGGCUAUAAACACUCAAGAUAAGUAUCAUACCUAUUAAUCUCCCCUUUUCUUCAACAUUUAUGAGUUUAUGGUUAAGGUUUGAUAAUGAAAGUGGGAAUUCGGUCCAUAUAGGUUAUGAGUCUAAAUUUGUCAACUCAAAUGGAGUUAAUGGGGGUAGAUUAGAGUAUUCAAACCUUAGUAUAAUGAGUUUUGGUGUUUUGGGUUAUUAGGCACUAUAAAUGUCUAAAAUCUCAUUUAUUAUGGGUUGUUGGAAGUUUGUAAUGCCAUUAAUAGGAAUUUAAUGGCUCAUUAAUGCUAUUGGGAGCUAAAAGUAAUUAUUAAACCUAGUGGUUAGGCUCCACCUCUUGUAAGGUGAAGGUGGGCAAUUUAGAAGUAAAGAUUGAAGGUUUAAUUGUUUG
Long non-coding RNA from Prosopis cineraria, 1744 nucleotides. RefSeq lists it as uncharacterized. NCBI's taxonomy places the organism in Eukaryota, Viridiplantae, Streptophyta, Magnoliopsida, Fabales, Fabaceae. The record is from RefSeq and is a predicted model, not a curated record. The transcript has 3 exons.